UACAGAGGGUGCAAGCGUUGUUCGGAAUUAUUGGGCGUAAAGGGCGCGUAGGCGGUGCGGUAAGUCUGUAGUGAAAUCUCCGGGCUCAACUCGGAGUCUGCAUCAGAAACUGCCGUGCUCGAGUGUGGGAGAGGUGAGUGGAAUCCCCGGUGUAGCGGUGAAAUGCGUAGAUAUCGGGAGGAACACCUGUGGCGAAAGCGGCUCACUGGACCACAACUGACGCUGAGGCGCGAAAGCUAGGGGAGCAAACAGG
RNAcentral lists this ribosomal RNA (253 nucleotides) under uncultured bacterium. RNAcentral describes it as "partial 16S ribosomal RNA". It matches the Rfam family "Bacterial small subunit ribosomal RNA", at positions 524 to 776 of the family's 1533-position model. The record is from RNAcentral.